RNAcentral lists this ribosomal RNA (856 nucleotides) under uncultured Actinomycetales bacterium. Its description in RNAcentral is "bacterial SSU rRNA". The stretch from base 3 to 556 matches the Rfam family "Bacterial small subunit ribosomal RNA", at positions 9 to 873 of the family's 1533-position model. Lineage: Bacteria; Bacillati; Actinomycetota; Actinomycetes; Actinomycetales. The record is from RNAcentral.
UAGAGUUUGAUCCUGGCUCAGAAUCAACGCUGGCGGCGUGCCUAACACAUGCAAGUCGAACGAGAAAGUGGAGCAAUCCAUGAGUAAAGUGGCGACCGGGUGAGUAACACGUGACUAACCUACCUCCGAGUGGGGAAUAACUCCGGGAAACCGGGGCUAAUACCGCAUAACAUCGUGAGAUCAAAGCAGCAAUGCGCUUGGAGAGGGGGUCGCGGCUGAUUAGCUAGUUGGUGAGGUAACGGCCCACCAAGGCUUUGACGGGUAGCUGGUCUGAGAGGACGACCAGCCACACUGGGACUGAGACACGGCCCGGACACCUACGGGUGGCAGCAGUCGAGAAUUUUUGACAAUGGGGGAAACCCUGAUCGAGCGACGCCGCGUGGAGGAUGAAGGUCUUCGGAUUGUAAACUCCUGUCAUUGGGGAACAAGUCGCUUACGUUAACUGCGUGAGCGUUGAUAGUACCCGAAGAGGAAGAGACGGCUAACUCUGUGCCAGCAGCCGCGGUAAUACCGAGGUCUUCAGCGUUGUUCGGAUUCUUUGGGCGUAAAGGGCGCCUAACGCAGGCCGCUUAUCUGAUGGUGAAAUCGUCGCAGAUUAUCGCAGAAGUACCCUCAUACCUACCAAUCCCAAGGCUCGGCCUACCACAGCGCACAUUACGUGAGCGAGAACGGCCGUCAGCAUCGCACCGGACGUACGACGAAGGGUAACGCGAGCCUUGACCAUCCACUGCCCGCGUUCGACGAGGGCGGGACGCUGUGCCCACAGCUCCGUAGAUGGGCGAGGUCAGCGGUUACGAGGCCGCGCUCGCACUGGCAGCAGGCACGACAUCUGGUUGUGCGGAUCCCAGGCUCUGCC